RNAcentral lists this ribosomal RNA (465 nucleotides) under uncultured bacterium. RNAcentral describes it as "partial 16S ribosomal RNA". It matches the Rfam family "Bacterial small subunit ribosomal RNA", at positions 338 to 795 of the family's 1533-position model. The record is from RNAcentral.
CCUACGGGAGGCUGCAGUGGGGAAUAUUGCGCAAUGGGCGAAAGCCUGACGCAGCGACGCCGCGUGAGGGAUGACGGUCUUCGGAUCGUAAACCUCUGUCAGCAGGGAAGAACGGUCACUGUGCUAAUCAGCAGUGAAUUGACGGUACCUGCAAAGGAAGCACCGGCUAACUCCGUGCCAGCGGCCGCGGUAAUGCGGAGGGUGCGGGCGUUAAUCGGAAUUACUGGGCGUAAAGCGCUCGUAGGCGGUAUGUCAAGUCAAGGGUGAAAUCCCCGGGCUCAACGUGGGAACUGCCUUUGAAACUGGCAAACUGGAGUGUGUGAGAGGAUAGUGGAAUUCCAGGUGUAGGGGUGAAAUGCGUAGAUAUCUGGAGGAACAUCAGUGGCGAAGGCGAGUAUCUGGCACAUAACUGACGCUGAGGAGCGAAAGCGUGGGUAGCAAACAGGAUUAGAUACCCCUGUAGUC